Molecule: ribosomal RNA, 492 nt
Filed under: uncultured bacterium
Lineage: Bacteria
Description: partial 16S ribosomal RNA
Rfam family: Bacterial small subunit ribosomal RNA
Source: RNAcentral
AGUGAACGCUGGCGGUAGGCCUAACACAUGCAAGUCGAACGGCAGCACAGUAAGAGCUUGCUCUUACGGGUGGCGAGUGGCGGACGGGUGAGGAAUACAUCGGAAUCUACUUUUUCGUGGGGGAUAACGUAGGGAAACUUACGCUAAUACCGCAUACGACCUACGGGUGAAAGCAGGGGAUCUUCGGACCUUGCGCGAUUGAAUGAGCCGAUGUCGGAUUAGCUAGUUGGCGGGGUAAAGGCCCACCAAGGCGACGAUCCGUAGCUGGUCUGAGAGGAUGAUCGGCCACACUGGAACUGAGACACGGUCCAGACUCCUACGGGAGGCAGCAGUGGGGAAUAUUGAGCAAAGGGCGAAAGCCUGACCCAGCAAUGCCGCGUGGGUGAAGAAGGCCUUCGGGUUGUAAAGCCCUUUUGUUGGGAAAGAAAAGCAGCGGGUUAAUACCCCCCUGUUCUGACGGUACCAAAAGAAAAAGCACCGGCUAACUUCGUG